GGAGGAACUGUCCAGCUUGACAGAAAGAAGUUGUCUCACUGGAAGCUUCUGUCUCUAAGGCCAACAAGCCAACCUGGGUAGGGAGAGGGACUCUGAUGGUCAAAGCUACAGCUUCUGGAACUCCACCUGGAAAAUUCCUCAUAAAACUGGUCAUUUGUGAAUCCCCAAAUAUCCUCUUUCCUCUGCUUCUCAAAGAACUAUCCCAUGUAACAAAGGGAAAAAAAAGGAAGGGAAAAAUGAUUCAGUAAACCUAAUCAGCCAUCAAUCAAGUCCAGUAUUAUGUGAACUGUACCACACCUAGAGCUUCCCAUUUCUUCAAAGAAGAAAGGUGCUUUCUCAUAGCUUUUAUUUUGGAAAAAGAGAUUAAAAAUCAUUAUCAUAAUAGAGCAUUCAAUUUUCAUUGUUGUUCUUGACACAUAUUGUUUUGAAUUGUACAUUGUGUAUAUUAUUUUUCUAAUUCUGCUUAUUUCACUUUCAUGUAUAUUUCAUUCUUUCUCUGCAUUCAUGUUCAUCAUUUUGUAUAGGAUAUUUAUAUUUCAUUACAUGCACAUGAUAGUUUGUUUAGUCAGUCAUUCAAUGGAGCUCUACUUUAAAUCCAUCUCUUUUAAUAAAUACUAAUACUUUUCCUACUUCCUUACACUUUUAGAUAUUCCCAUGAAAUUUUAUUUAAUUAUACUCUUUCUAGAGAUCCUCACAAUGAUAAGAAACAGAGAAAGAAUCUUUCCCUUUCCAUUUCCUACUAAGCAACAGCAGCCCCAAUUUCUUUCACCAUCUCAGCCUUAUACUAUCUUGAUUUCCCAAGACUGGUGGUUAUUCCAGGAUGCUCUGUGGUGAAUGAUCACUCUAGAAUGCAGAGAGCCUCCUGUUAAUACCCAAGUAUUGCCAAACUUUCAAGAAAUAGAAGACAACAGCAGCACAACCUACAGGGAAUGAAUGGAUCAAUGUUUCUGUCAAUCUUCUGGUCUUCAGACCAUACUCUCCCAACCUUGUCCUCACGGUCCAGUUUUCCCAGGAAUCCCUUAGGUGCUAAGAUGGGGAUUCCUGGAAAUACUGUUCUUGAGGUCAUGGCUUAACAGCUGGACCAUGUCUCCUUCAGCAUCCCAUGCAGGAAGAAGUUUCAAAAACCAGUGUCUGAGUUGAUAACACAAGAGUCUUUUUAGAGAAGACUAUAAGAUGAAUCAAUGGAGCCAGAGAAUGGAGGUAAGGAGUUUAGAAACUUGUCCUUGAAAAUAAGACAGCCCCAAACUUUUUAGCAGAGCACAGGAGAAGGGACACUGCAUUUGGAGUCAGAAGAUCUGGUUUUGAAUUCUAGCUCCAAUACUUAUUAUUUGUGUAAUUUGGUGAAUUACUUCUCUGGGAUUAAAUUUUCUUAUUUAUAAAGUUAGGCAGUUUAAUGUUUAACUAAAUGACCUUUAAGACCCCUUCUAGCUUUAAUAUUGUGAUUCUAUGCUUAUAUAUCCAUAGACAUGGAGCCUUAUGAUUUCCAAGAACCUUUCCUCAUAGGAAUCUUGGAAAGAUAAUAGAGCAGAUAUUAUCACCUGAUUUUACAGAUAGGAAACAGGCUCCAGUAUCAUUCUAAUAAUUAAAUGGAAGGCCACCAAUAUGGUGAAAAAACUAGAAGUCAUGUCAUAUGAGGAUUGAAUGAAUCAUCUAGAGAUUGUUAAGCCAAAGAAGAGAAAACUUAGCAAGUUCUGUGCUUAUUGUUUCCAUAUAUUUGAAGGGCAAUUAUGGGAAAAGGCAAUAGCUUUGUUCUAGUUCUCCAGCCAUAGGAGGAAGUUGCAGAAAAGUAGCUUUUGGCUCAAUAGAAGGAAAAUAGAAGGCUCAAAAGUCAGAGUAUUUCAGUAGUUGAAUGGAUUGUUUCAGGUUGGGGAUGGUGUAGAAGAAGAUCCUUCUAAGAUCCAGUUUUGACUCAAUGACCUAUGAAGCUCAUUUCCAGUUUGGAGAUUCUAUAAUUCAACCCUUACAUCUCCAUGAUACAAGACAGGAAUUUUAUCCUUGUCUUAAUUUCAGAUAACUGCUCCAAAAUACACUGCUGGUUGCAGUAAAACCAGGCAUAAGACCCUCAUUUUCAUUAUAUGUAUCUAGGUCUCCUUGUUUGCUAUCCAUAGUAGCUAUUUUUAUGAGAUAAUAAUAAUAAUAAUAAUAAUAAUAAUUUUAUAAGAUUAUUUAUAGAAGUAACUUAUAUAAAGUUCCAUAAGUAAGUAGGAGAACCAAGGUUCAAAUUCCAUUCUCACUCCAAAUCCAGUAUCCUUUCCAUGUUGCCCAUUUGUUUUUCUUAGCACUGUGGGAACCUCACUUGUUCCAUGUAGCACAUGUCACAAAAGCUUUCACGACCUUCUCCAAGGGGUGAGGAACUCUGAGGAUGAUGAGAAAACCUAUUUCACACACCAUCCUCCAGAGGGAGGGUGGGAAAGUAUGAUUUAGACCCUGUCCCCAGGGAAGAAUGUGGAAAAGCUGCUUCAGGAACCAUUCUCCAGGGGAAAAAUGGGAAGGGCAUCUUUCCUUUGAACUUUCCUUUCCUACUCUCUUGUGUGAGAAUUACGUGCCACAAUGAGAAUAAAUUGCUGACCUCUUGAA
Long non-coding RNA from Antechinus flavipes (yellow-footed antechinus), 2577 nucleotides. RefSeq lists it as uncharacterized. The transcript has 2 exons. The record is from RefSeq and is a predicted model, not a curated record. Lineage: Eukaryota; Metazoa; Chordata; Mammalia; Dasyuromorphia; Dasyuridae.